AGCGGCGGACGGGUGAGUAAUACGUGGGUGAUCUGCCCAUCAGACGGGGACAACGAUUGGAAACGAUCGCUAAUACCGGAUAGGACGAAAGUUUAAAGGUGCUUCUGGCACCGCUGAUGGAUGAGCCUGCGGCGCAUUAGCUAGUUGGUAGGGUAAAGGCCUACCAAGGCGACGAUGCGUAGCCGACCUGAGAGGGUGAACGGCCACACUGGGACUGAGACACGGCCCAGACUCCUACGGGAGGCAGCAGUAGGGAAUCUUCGGCAAUGGGCGAAAGCCUGACCGAGCAACGCCGCGUGAAUGAUGAAGGCCUUCGGGUUGUAAAAUUCUGUUAUAAGGGAAGAACGACUUUAGUAGGAAAUGGCUAGAGUGUGACGGUACCUUAUGAGAAAGCCACGGCUAACUACGUGCCAGCAGCCGCGGUAAUACGUAGGUGGCGAGCGUUAUCCGGAAUUAUUGGGCGUAAAGAGCGCGCAGGUGGUUGAUUAAGUCUGAUGUGAAAGCCCACGGCUUAACCGUGGAGGGUCAUUGGAAACUGGUCGACUUGAGUGCAGAAGAGGGAAGUGGAAUUCCAUGUGUAGCGGUGAAAUGCGUAGAGAUAUGGAGGAACACCAGUGGCGAAGGCGGCUUCCUGGUCUGUAACUGACACUGAGGCGCGAAAGCGUGGGGAGCAAACAGGAUUAGAUACCCUGGUAGUCCACGCCGUAAACGAUGAGUG
This 718-nucleotide ribosomal RNA is filed under the name uncultured bacterium. Its description in RNAcentral is "bacterial SSU rRNA". It matches the Rfam family "Bacterial small subunit ribosomal RNA", at positions 94 to 815 of the family's 1533-position model. The record is from RNAcentral.